CCCAGUACCACUGAGGAUAACUCUGUGUGUGUGUGUGUGUAUUUACGUAUGUGCAUGUGCACACAUGACUUCACCUGGUUUGGCUUGCUCACAAGAGUGCAGUCUCCUCUGACUCUUUCCUCACUGCAGGAUUUUAAGUCAAUGGUGACUAUACAGAACCUUCUGAUAUGGAGGAUUUUCUGUUGUUCGAUUGAGUCUGUGUGCUGAAUAAACAUAUCAUGCGGUUACCUACAAAAUCCAUUCUGGACACCAAAUACAAAUCACAGGUGUUUUUCUACAAGUCCAUUGUGAACAAAAUUAAGGACCUAUGCUAUGACCUUUCCCUGAGAGAGAAGGUGUGGCUCAGAGAAAACCAGCAUUAUCAUAAAGAAAGCAAUCCCCAAGAGUUAUACUUUAUUGAAGCAUCCAUCUCAGGAAAGAACCAAAGAUUAGGAUUGAGUCUUGAUGUGGGAGACUAAGAGGGUGCAAAGUCACGUAUAGAGAGCAUAGAGAAUAUGUGACUGAUCGUCAGUGAUUUGGCCAGUGCUUCGUAACAAUGAACUUUAAUGCUCCAUUCCGCCUGAAUGUUAUAAACGUGGCUGAUGGAAAACCUAAUUGGGAAACACGCUAAACCGACUCUGUAGAAAGCAUGACUUUUGAUUGAAUUGAGCAGCAACAAAAACAACAAUGACAACAACUCUUGUCAGAGACCAAAGUGCCAGAAACUAAGGAUGAAAAGAUCACCCCUCCUCCCUAGUCUUCUUCUGUGUCCCUGGGGUUUCUUUGGCAGGAAUGUUUUAUAUAUUACCUCAGGAGACCUGUAGCUGUGAGUAGCAGUUUUUUCCUGGAAACAGAGGCAGAAGGUUCCUGCUUCCUUUAUGGCAGGCUCAUGUUCUCACUCAGGGAAUCAAGCAUUUCUUCAUACAAGUGGAAGCACAUGGUCUUUCCUUUCCUGGUUCAGCAGUUCCCACUCCCAGCAUCAGGCCAAGUCAAGACAAGUAGGGCUGUGACCUGGAGGAGUCUCCGUGAGCCCCACGAGAGAGUUUGGAGUGUCUCUCAGACAACAAAACUUUGAUGGAUUUUGACUUCAGCCAUGACUCUUUUUCCUGGCAAACUACAUAUUGGAUGACCAAAGAAGAUGCUCUCUGCAGAGUGUAAUCCAGUCACCAAAGCCAGAGGUUGAGGGGAAGUUGCCAUUUUCCCUUGUUGUUUACCUGUCAAGGGUCCGUUGCCUUGAAUCUUUCAGUUAUUGGUAUCCUGGCUUAGUACCUCUGCCCUGGUAUUUGAGUGUGUAUAUCAGCAGUGCUCAUGGCACUGCUUUGAAGUUUGUGGUCCUGCCACUCUAACUGUAUGACUUCGGGCCUUCAGUUAAUCUAAGUUUCAAAUUUCCUCUGUAUGAUGGGAGUAGUUAUGCCUGUCCUGCUUGCUUGAUCAGAUACAACCCCAAUUUUGUGAAUCUGAUAACUUAGAGUCCCAAGCUGGGUAGGAAGCUUAUGUGCUAACCCACAGAGCCUUUGUCUGCUUGAAACAGCCACCCCUCACUGGCAUCCUGGAUAAAUGAUCCUCCAGCUUCAAACUGAGCUCUGGCUGGGGAUCUGCCCACCCAGAAGCUCUGCUAGAAAAUUCUUCCAUGGGCUGAGCUGAAAUUUGAACCCUCCAGUAACUUUUACCUGCUGGUUUCUAUUUUCUAUUUCACCUGGACUCACCGAUACAUUUUUAUCACAAAAGUAUUCUGUAUAUUGAAGACUACUGUAAAAAGUCCCACCAUAGUUUGUGUGUGUGUGUGUGUGUUUUAAUUAGUUAUCAAGUCAUCUCUUCAACUCCUUUGCUUUGCCUUAGGGGAUUCUGAUCUAGGUUGACCGCAUAGAACAGGAUAUGGUGCAGUGUUCUGAACAUUAUCAGGGAUCCUUGUGGCAUCAGUUAUAAAACUUUCCCUGGAGUUCUCUGGGGGAAGGUGUUAUUAAUUAUUAUUAAUGGCAGAUGCCACCACCCAUAGUGAGAAUGCACAAAUCCUAGAGCCAUAAUUGGAAACACAUGCUUCUUAACAGGUUUUAAAUUAUUCUAUUUUACUUGUAAAAAAAAAAGUAUUUCCUCUUAUACCACCUUGCAUUAUUUUUCAUUCUGAAGAGUAAUAGAGAUAUAUGAAAUUUUGGUAAAAAAAAAAAAAGAAAGAAAGAGAGACCUAGAG
Long non-coding RNA from Nyctereutes procyonoides (raccoon dog), 2167 nucleotides. RefSeq lists it as uncharacterized. The record is from RefSeq and is a predicted model, not a curated record. The transcript has 3 exons. NCBI's taxonomy places the organism in Eukaryota, Metazoa, Chordata, Mammalia, Carnivora, Canidae.